Molecule: ribosomal RNA, 444 nt
Filed under: uncultured bacterium
Lineage: Bacteria
Description: bacterial SSU rRNA
Rfam family: Bacterial small subunit ribosomal RNA
Source: RNAcentral
CCAGACUCCUACGGGAGGCAGCAGUGGGGAAUAUUGCACAGUGGGGGAAACCCUGAUGCAGCGACGCCGCGUGAGUGAAGAAGUAUUUCGGUAUGUAAAGCUCUAUCAGCAGGGAAGAAAAUGACGGUACCUGACUAAGAAGCCCCGGCUAACUACGUGCCAGCAGCCGCGGUAAUACGUAGGGGGCAAGCGUUAUCCGGAUUUACUGGGUGUAAAGGGAGCGUAGACGGCCAGACAAGUCAGAAGUGAAAGCCUAGGGCUCAACCCUGGGACUGCUUUUGAAACUGCCGGGCUGGAGUGCAGGAGAGGUAAGCGGAAUUCCUAGUGUAGCGGUGAAAUGCGUAGAUAUUAGGAGGAACACCAGUGGCGAAGGCGGCUUACUGGACUGUAACUGACGUUGAGGCUCGAAAGCGUGGGGAGCAAACAGGAUUAGAUACCCGUGUA